RNAcentral lists this long non-coding RNA (1249 nucleotides) under Gossypium barbadense (sea-island cotton). RNAcentral's name for it is "long non-coding RNA (GBAR_LNC018070)". Lineage: Eukaryota; Viridiplantae; Streptophyta; Magnoliopsida; Malvales; Malvaceae. The record is from RNAcentral.
UCUUUUGUAUACCUGUAGCAUAUAGUAAUAGUAAGCAGUAAUAGCAAUGGCCUCCUCCAUGAUCUCAUCGGCAACCAUUGCCACCGUGAACCGCUCCUCCCCGGCACAGGCCAACAUGGUGGCCCCCUUCACCGGCCUCAAAUCUGCCUCUGCUUUCCCAGUCACCAGGAAGGCCAACAACGACAUCACUUCUCUUGCAAGCAACGGUGGGAGAGUGCAAUGCAUGCAGGUACUUGGUGAUGCAUAAAUACCACUUAAAUUACCCCAAGUGUUUGAACACAACAAAUUACAUAAAUUGAAUCAAAUAUAUAUCUUGGCUUUUGAGUACAGGUGUGGCCGCCUCUUGGGAAGAAGAAGUUCGAGACUCUCUCAUACCUGCCCGAUCUUACUCCCGUACAGUUGGCUAAGGAAGUAGAUUACCUUCUUCGCUCUAAAUGGAUUCCUUGCUUGGAAUUCGAAUUAGAGGUGUUUUGGAGCUCUAAAUUAUUCCAUUCCUCCUCUUAAUUUUUUUAGUGGGAUAUUUGAGUUGAUUAAGUGUGUUUUAUAUGUAUGUGCAGGAGGGAUUCGUGCACCGUAAGUACUCGAGCUUACCCACGUACUACGAUGGACGCUACUGGACCAUGUGGAAACUGCCCAUGUUCGGGUGCACCGACUCGGCUCAGGUGUUGAAGGAGCUUGAGGAAUGCAAGAAGGAAUACCCCAAUGCAUUCAUUAGAAUCAUUGGGUUCGACAACGUUCGUCAAGUGCAGUGCAUUAGUUUCAUUGCCUACAAGCCUGAAGGCUACUAAGUUGUUUACUUCCCUCCUAGGAAUUCCAUUUGUUUCAAAGUUGUACUUAAAUUAAGCCCCUCAAGCCCCCCCCCCCUUUUUCUUUUUCUUUUUUAGUUGAGUUAUUUGGCUUGGGGUCUCUCUUUGUUUUGUUUUUGGAUUUCCAAUGGAACGGCUGAGAACUAAUGAAUAAAAAGGUAGUUUCUUGCCAUAUUUCAUGAAUCCAGUUCUUCCUCCAUUUUCAGUGCUAAGAUAUUCAUGUUAAGAUAGGAUAAAAAUUAAAAGAAAAAAAGGUGAUUGGGUGGUCUGGCUUUAAAAUAAGAGGAUAAAGAUUUUGUGGACAAGCAACGCUGUGCUGUUGGAGGCUCAUUAUCUUAGUACAUAGGAAUACACCAAAGAAACCAUUUUUAUUAAAUUGUUUUAUUAUGACAUCACAAGUUUCUAUUAUUAAAAUAACAACUUAAAAAGGCUAAAUUCAAAUA